GGGGCUAUGGCGCAGUUGGGAGCGCGUCUGCGUGGCACGCAGAAGGUCGCCGGUUCGAACCCGGCUAGCUCCACCA
This 76-nucleotide transfer RNA is filed under the name Candidatus Poseidoniia archaeon. Its description in RNAcentral is "tRNA-Ala". It matches the Rfam family "tRNA". Rfam says of the family: Transfer RNA (tRNA) molecules are approximately 80 nucleotides in length. Lineage: Archaea; Methanobacteriati; Thermoplasmatota; Candidatus Poseidoniia. The record is from RNAcentral.